RNAcentral lists this unclassified non-coding RNA (350 nucleotides) under soil metagenome. RNAcentral describes it as "partial contains 5.8S ribosomal RNA, internal transcribed spacer 2, and large subunit ribosomal RNA". The stretch from base 1 to 120 matches the Rfam family "5.8S ribosomal RNA", at positions 35 to 154 of the family's 154-position model. The record is from RNAcentral.
GAUGAAGAACGUAGCGAAAUGCGAUAAGUAAUGUGAAUUGCAGAAUUCAGUGAAUCAUCGAAUCUUUGAACGCACAUUGCGCCCGCCAGUAUUCUGGCGGGCAUGCCUGUUCGAGCGUCAUUUCAACCCUCAAGCCCAGCUUGGUGUUGGGGAUCGGCACAGGCGCCCUCGGGCGCCCGCCGUCCCCUAAAUCUAGUGGCGGUCCCGCUGCAGCCUCCUCUGCGUAGUAGUUUUCUCCUCGCAAGGGCAGCUCGGUGGCGACCUCGCCGUAAAACCCCCAACUUCUGAAAGUUUGACCUCGAAUCAGGUAGGAAUACCCGCUGAACUUAAGCAUAUCAAUAAGCGGAGGA